GAGCGGCGGACGGGUUAAUAAUACUUAGGAAUCUACCUAGUAGUGGGGGAUAGCUCGGGGAAACUCGAAUUAAUACCGCAUACGACCUACGGGAGAAAGGGGGCAACUUGUUGCUCUCGCUAUUAGAUGAGCCUAAGUCGGAUUAACUAGAUGGUGGGGUAAAGGCCUACCAUGGCGACGAUCUGUAGCUGGUCUGAGAGGAUGAUCAGCCACACCGGGACUGAGACACGGCCCGGACUCCUACGGGAGGCAGCAGUGGGGAAUAUUGGACAAUGGGGGCAACCCUGAUCCACCCAUGCCGCGUGUGUGAAGAAAGCCUUUUGGUUGUAAAGCACUUUAAGCAGUGAAGAAGACUCUAUGGUUAAUACCCCUAGACGAUGACAUUAUCUGCAGAAUAAGCACCGGCUAACUCUGUGCCAGCAGCCGCGGUAAUACAAAAGGUGCAAGCGUUAAUCCGAAUUACUGGGCGUUAAAGGAGCGUUAGGUUGCUUUGAUUAGUCCCAUUGUGAAAUCCCCCGGCUUAAACCUGGGGGACAGCAUUUUGAUUACUUGUUUAGGCUUACAAUUAAGUUGAGAAGGAAAGGUAGAAAUUCCCCGGUGUUUCGGUGAAA
This 611-nucleotide ribosomal RNA is filed under the name Adelie penguin guano bacterium 49b. Its description in RNAcentral is "bacterial SSU rRNA". It matches the Rfam family "Bacterial small subunit ribosomal RNA", at positions 93 to 686 of the family's 1533-position model. The record is from RNAcentral.